Molecule: ribosomal RNA, 253 nt
Filed under: uncultured bacterium
Lineage: Bacteria
Description: partial 16S ribosomal RNA
Rfam family: Bacterial small subunit ribosomal RNA
Source: RNAcentral
UACGAAGGGUGCAAACGUUGCUCGGAAUUAUUGGGCGUAAAGCGCACGUAGGCGGCUUUGCAAGUCGGAUGUGAAAUCCCUCGGCUCAACCAAGGAAGUGCAUCCGAAACUGCAGAGCUUGAGUACUUAAGAGGAUCGCGGAAUUCCCGGUGUAGAGGUGAAAUUCGUAGAUAUCGGGAGGAACACCGGUGGCGAAGGCGGCAGCCUGGGUUGACACUGACGCUGAGGCGCGAAAGCGUGGGGAGCAAACAGG